CUGACGUGCUGUGGAGACUGAAUUCCCUUGUCCUCAGAACAGCUUCCCCCACACUGCCCUACCACGUGCUGUGACCCUGGCCUAGAGGAGCCACCUCUGGGAUGAGAUGGGGGCAGCCAGUCCCCGUUAGCUCUCACAUGCUCUACU
Molecule: unclassified non-coding RNA, 147 nt
Organism: Chelonoidis abingdonii (Abingdon island giant tortoise)
Lineage: Eukaryota; Metazoa; Chordata; Testudines; Testudinidae
Source: Ensembl